RNAcentral lists this long non-coding RNA (744 nucleotides) under Homo sapiens (human). RNAcentral describes it as "non-protein coding TRG-AS1:23". The record is from RNAcentral. Lineage: Eukaryota; Metazoa; Chordata; Mammalia; Primates; Hominidae.
CUUCUGCGCCAUCUUGUGGCAGUUGAGAGCAGGCCCAGGGCAGAAGGGAGGCAGGGGCAUUAAGAGCUCAGGCCUCCAGCUGAGGGACUGCAGAUGUUGGGUAAGCUGACCCUGGAAUUAACAGGCUCACACCUUGGAGGGGGCAGUCCCAUAGCAGGCUCCCACCCUGCCCUUCAGAGUUGCAGCAGGUAAUGCUGAUGCCAGAACCUUGUCCUGACAGGAAGCCUCUGAUUAGGGCCCUGAACCAAGUUCCUUUUCGCAUCUGCAGACUCAUGGAGGCAACCACUCAAGGUCACUCUGAGAAGGGUUGAACGUGCUUUAUUAAAAGGACUGAGGAUCAUGUGUGUUGGUGUGUCCCGGAGUCUGCUCUAAGGAAGCCUCUGAUUAGGGCCCGGAACCAACUUCCUUUUCGCAUCUGCAGACUCAUGGAGGCAACCACUCAAGGCCACUCUGAGAAGGGUUGAACGUGCUUUAAAUUAAAAGGACUGAGGAUCAUGUGUGUUGGUGUGUCCUGGACUCUGCUCUAAGGCAGCGCACUCACCAGGAGACAGGAAAGCUAGAAGCACCGCUAGGGCCCACCGCAUGCCUUCCUCUCUGGGGCCUUGGAAGGAAAGGGACCAGAUGAAGAGGAGCAGAAGAUCCUCUUAAAACUCAGGCCCCACUCAACAAGGAAGUGAUCCCUAGCACAGAAGACAGUAAGAGGAGCUGGUCUUCCUGAGUCACAGGCAGGGAGAAGUGACUGAG